Molecule: ribosomal RNA, 253 nt
Filed under: uncultured bacterium
Lineage: Bacteria
Description: partial 16S ribosomal RNA
Rfam family: Bacterial small subunit ribosomal RNA
Source: RNAcentral
UACGGGGGGGGCAAGCGUUGUUCGGAAUUACUGGGCGUAAAGGGCUCGUAGGUGGCCAACUAAGUCAGACGUGAAAUCCCUCGGCUUAACCGGGGAACUGCGUCUGAUACUGGAUGGCUUGAGUUCGGGAGAGGGAUGCGGAAUUCCUGGUGUAGCGGUGAAAUGCGCAGAUAUCAGGAGGAACACCGGUGGCGAAGGCGGGUCUCUGGGCAGUAACUGACGCUGAGGAGCGAAAGCGUGGGGAGCGAACAGG